GACGAACGCUGGCGGCGUGCUUAACACAUGCAAGUCGUACGGUAAGGCCCUUUCGGGGGUACACGAGUGGCGAACGGGUGAGUAACACGUGAGUAACCUGCCCACAACUUUGGGAUAACGCUAGGAAACUGGUGCUAAUACUGGAUAUGUGCUCCUGCUGCAUGGUGGGGGUUGGAAAGCUCCGGCGGUUGUGGAUGGACUCGCGGCCUAUCAGCUUGUUGGUGGGGUAGUGGCCUACCAAGGCGGCGACGGGUAGCCGGCCUGAGAGGGUGACCGGCCACAUUGGGACUGAGAUACGGCCCAGACUCCUACGGGAGGCAGAAGUGGGGAAUAUUGCACAAUGGGCGCAAGCCUGAUGCAGCAACGCCGCGUGCGGGAUGACGGCCUUCGGGUUGUAAACCGCUUUCAGCAGGGACGAAGCUUUUUGUGACGGUACCUGCAGAAGAAGCACCGGCUAACUACGUG
Molecule: ribosomal RNA, 465 nt
Filed under: uncultured bacterium
Lineage: Bacteria
Description: partial 16S ribosomal RNA
Rfam family: Bacterial small subunit ribosomal RNA
Source: RNAcentral